Nannospalax galili (Upper Galilee mountains blind mole rat) is the source of this 103-nucleotide small nuclear RNA. NCBI's taxonomy places the organism in Eukaryota, Metazoa, Chordata, Mammalia, Rodentia, Spalacidae. The record is from Ensembl.
GUGCUAGCUUCGGCAGCAUGUAUACUGAAAUUGGAACAAUACAGAGACUAGCAUGGCCCCUGCACAAGGAUGACAUGAAAUUUGUGAAGCAGUCUAUAUUUUA